AUUGAACGCUGGCGGCGUGCUUAACACAUGCGAAGUCAAUCGGUAACAGGUGUAGCAAUACAUGCUGACGAGAGGCGGACGGGUGAGUAAUGCUUGGGAAUCUGCCUAUUAGUGGGGGACAACCCGGGGAAACUCGGGCUAAUACCGCAUACGCUCUACGGAGGAAAGCCGGGGACCGCAAGGCCUGGCGCUAAUAGAUGAGCCCAAGUCGGAUUAGCUAGUUGGUAGGGUAACGGCCUACCAAGGCGACAAUCCGUAGCUGGUCUGAGAGGACGACCAGCCACACCGGAACUGAGACACGGUCCGGACUCCUACGGGAGGCAGCAGUGGGGAAUAUUGGACAAUGGGGGCAACCCUGAUCCAGCGACGCCGCGUGGGUGAAGAAGGCCUGCGGGUUGUAAAGCCCUUUCGGUGGGGAAGAAAAGUCUCGACCUAAUACGUCGGGACCUUGACGUAACCCACUAAAGAAGCACCGGCUAACUCUGUGACAGCAGCCGCGGUAAC
This 504-nucleotide ribosomal RNA is filed under the name uncultured bacterium. RNAcentral describes it as "bacterial SSU rRNA". It matches the Rfam family "Bacterial small subunit ribosomal RNA", at positions 29 to 524 of the family's 1533-position model. The record is from RNAcentral.